Vicia villosa (hairy vetch) is the source of this 840-nucleotide long non-coding RNA. RefSeq lists it as uncharacterized. NCBI's taxonomy places the organism in Eukaryota, Viridiplantae, Streptophyta, Magnoliopsida, Fabales, Fabaceae. The record is from RefSeq and is a predicted model, not a curated record. The transcript has 3 exons.
UCUUAAGAUAAACAUUGUACAUCUAAGUUAACUUAUUCAACUUGAGUUUCUGCAUUUGGACUUUGAAGUUCCUCUUCCUCUUUCUUUGAUCAUUUUCCAAGGAUGUUUUUUCAAGUAUACCUACAUAAUUAAAAACUUCUACUUCUGUCUAUUAGAGGCUAGUUCACCAAAGGUUUUUAGAGAUUUGCGAAAGAGAGAGAGUUGUCAUAAUGAAGAAACAAGAAUAGAGGAGAAAGAGGCAAGACUAUAGAGAAGAAGAAGAAGAAGCUUGAAAAUUUUUCAUCCAUGGUGUCAAGUAAAGAUGCAAUUAGAGACCCAUUGAGUUGCUUCCAUUGAUAAGGGCUGUUUGGUCUUAUGUUCCUUUUCUCUCCGCAUUGAUGGAAUGUAGGAAUGGAGGAGGAACUUUCUUCACUUUGCUUCUGGAUUUGGAGCUUUAGGAAUUCCAUGAAUUUUAAAAACAUAAACUCCAUGAAUUCACUACUUUUAGUUUUUUAUUCUUUAUCUUCUACAUCCAUAUCUUUAAUGUUUGUGACUUUUAUUGCAAUACUUUUCUUCUUCUUCUUGUGAUCUUCUUCGUCAAUAUCUAGUCUCUUGAGCUCUAUAUCAUGUUCCUUCAAUUUACCAAAAAGGGUGUGUGUGUCCAUAGUUUCUAAAUCAUGAAAUUCAUAAACCAUAGUGACUUUUAGUUUCCAGCAACAAUUUAGGCUUUUAAGAAUUUUUACAACUAGUUCCUCAUUUGAAAAUGUUUUUCCCAGAGUACAAAUAUGAAUCACGGUAUUGAUCAAUCGUGUUUUCAUUCUUAAGUGUUCAUAAUAUUGGGUUAAUGUACCUAACCUUGCA